GAUGAACGCUGGCGGCGUGCCUAAUACAUGCAAGUAGAACGCUGAAGGAGGAGCUUGCUCUUCUGGAUGAGUUGCGAACGGGUGAGUAACGCGUAGGUAACCUGCCUGGUAGCGGGGGAUAACUAUUGGAAACGAUAGCUAAUACCGCAUGACAACAGUUAUUGCAUGAUAACUGUUUAAAAGGGGCAACUGCUCCACUACCAGAUGGACCUGCGUUGUAUUAGCUAGUUGGUGAGGUAACGGCUCACCAAGGCGACGAUACAUAGCCGACCUGAGAGGGUGAUCGGCCACACUGGGACUGAGACACGGCCCAGACUCCUACGGGAGGCAGCAGUAGGGAAGCUUCGGCAAUGGACGGAAGUCUGACCGAGCAACGCCGCGUGAGGGAAGAAUGUUGUCGGAUCGUAAAGCUCUGUUGUAAGAGAAGAACGAGUGUGAGAGUGGAAAGUUCACACUGUGACGGUAUCUUACCAGAAAGGGACGGCUAACUACGUG
RNAcentral lists this ribosomal RNA (495 nucleotides) under uncultured bacterium. RNAcentral's name for it is "partial 16S ribosomal RNA". It matches the Rfam family "Bacterial small subunit ribosomal RNA", at positions 28 to 507 of the family's 1533-position model. The record is from RNAcentral.